ACUGACUCGGCUGAGCUGACUGAGGAGGCAGAUGUCCCCUUCCUUCCUCACUGCUCUCUCUGCGCACCCUGCCCCCCAACCCCCUGGAGCUGCACACAUGGAGACACUGGCAAACAAACAGGAAGGGAAGCCAUGAUCUGGAGCAAAAUUGUCUAGGGUAAGAGGGUAGCCGGGAAUUGGGACUAAGAACUAGGAAACUCUAACGUUGAGGGGCCAAGUGGUGAGGGCUGAGCCUA
Molecule: long non-coding RNA, 236 nt
Filed under: Homo sapiens (human)
Lineage: Eukaryota; Metazoa; Chordata; Mammalia; Primates; Hominidae
Description: non-protein coding lnc-CDK17-6:2
Source: RNAcentral